CCUACGGGAGGCAGCAGUGGGGAAUAUUGGACAAUGGGGGGAACCCUGAUCCAGCCAUGCCGCGUGUGUGAAGAAGGCCCUCGGGUUGUAAAGCACUUUCAGUGAGGAAGAACGCCUGGUGGUUAAUACCCAUCAGGAAAGACAUCACUCACAGAAGAAGCACCGGCUAACUCUGUGCCAGCAGCCGCGGUAAUACGGAGGGUGCGAGCGUUAAUCGGAAUUACUGGGCGUAAAGCGCGCGUAGGUGGCUUGAUAAGCCGGUUGUGAAAGCCCCGGGCUCAACCUGGGAACGGCAUCCGGAACUGUCAAGCUAGAGUGCAGGAGAGGAAGGUAGAAUUCCCGGUGUAGCGGUGAAAUGCGUAGAGAUCGGGAGGAAUACCAGUGGCGAAGGCGGCCUUCUGGACUGACACUGACACUGAGGUGCGAAAGCGUGGGUAGCAAACAGGAUUAGAUACCCUUGUAGUC
Molecule: ribosomal RNA, 465 nt
Filed under: Vreelandella stevensii
Lineage: Bacteria; Pseudomonadati; Pseudomonadota; Gammaproteobacteria; Oceanospirillales; Halomonadaceae
Description: partial 16S ribosomal RNA
Rfam family: Bacterial small subunit ribosomal RNA
Source: RNAcentral